AUUGAACGCUGGCGGCAGGCCUAACACAUGCAAGUCGAGCGAGCGGCGGACGGGUGAGUAAUGUAUGGGGAACUGCCCGAUAGAGGGGGAUAACUACUGGAAACGGUGGCUAAUACCGCAUACUAUCGGAUGAACCCAUAUGGGAUUAGCUAGUAGGUGGGGUAACGGCUCACCUAGUCGACGAUCCCUAGCUGGUCUGAGAGGAUGAUCGGCCACAAUGGUACUGAGACACGGCCCAGACUCCUACGUGAGGAAGCAGUGGGGAAUAUUGCACAAUGGGCGCAAGCCUGAUGCAGCCAUGCCGCGUGUAUGAAGAAGGCCUUAGGGUUGUAAAGUACUUUCAGCGGGGAGGCGUUACCCGCAGAAGAAGCACCGGCUAACUCCGUGCCAGCAGCCGCGGUAAUAC
Molecule: ribosomal RNA, 406 nt
Filed under: uncultured bacterium
Lineage: Bacteria
Description: partial 16S ribosomal RNA
Rfam family: Bacterial small subunit ribosomal RNA
Source: RNAcentral